GAUGAGACCGGCGCACGGGUGCGUAACGCGUAUGCAAUCUACCUUGUACAGGGGAAUAGCCCAGAGAAAUUUGGAUUAAUGCCCCAUUGUAUUAUUAAAUCGCAUGGUUUAAUAAUUAAAGUUCCAACGGUACAAGAUGAGCAUGCGUCCCAUUAGCUAGAUGGUAAGGUAACGGCUUACCAUGGCUACGAUGGGUAGGGGUCCUGAGAGGGAGAUCCCCCACACUGGUACUGAGACACGGACCAGACUCC
Molecule: ribosomal RNA, 251 nt
Filed under: uncultured bacterium
Lineage: Bacteria
Description: partial 16S ribosomal RNA
Rfam family: Bacterial small subunit ribosomal RNA
Source: RNAcentral